GAUGCGACCGCUGCCCGUCCCUCAUGGCGCUGCGUGUACCACGCCGAGAGGCAGGUUGGCGGCCCACUGCGCCCCUACCCUGAUGGCUGAUGCACGCCGUGCGACCGGCCGACAAGAUUGGUCUGUUGUUGCGCGCCUAGACCGGCAGGUGGGUUACUGGGGCAGGCUGUUGUGGACUACGGCCUGGAGAAUGAUGUGCUGCCCCUCGAGAAUACCAUUUCAGAAGGUCAGCAGAAAUCUUUGUGCACUCGUGCCAACCUUCUUACCGAAUACUUUUCCAUACUAAGCUAUAUUGUUCUCUCGAAUUAUCAUAAUCAUAUAUUGUAAUUUGUUCUUGCUAUUAGUGUGUUCUUACUGUGAGCAAAUUGAUUUUAUUUUGGCUUGAUUUGUACUAUACGAUGGUAGAGACCUUAUGUGAAAAUUUGACGACAAAUUCAACAUUCUUUUUAUAUUCCCUCCGUGUGGUAGGAUUUUUUUUUGCUCCUCAUUUGAUUGUUUAGCUUUUUUCUAUCCUCUUCCUUAUGUUUAGGUUGGAUAUGUUUCUCUUUGUUCCAGAUUAUUAGGACUGGUUUUGCAAAAAGCAUUUAUUUAUGUGUGACUAUUUUGUGAUGCUGCCUGUUUGUACAUGUACAAUCAAUUGAAAAACAACAUUUUUCUAUAUAGGAUGGUAUAGAUACUUAAGGUGUUCGUUUCUUCUCUGAUUAUGUAUUGUGUGCUUAAUUAAUUUUCCAUUCUCAGUCAUCAAAUUUUGUGCAUGAUCAUGAUUCAGAAGUGGAAAGACUUCAGAAUGCUUGCUGCAUUAGACAAUCAGCCUGAUCAAAGUUGCAAACGCCACUUGGUGCAUCUCUGUUGGUGGACCUGUUAACAACGAGAUUACAGUGCUACUAUUCUGAAGUCUUAGUUUCAGAAAACUAAUCUCUCUCUCUCUCUCUCUCUCUCUCUCUCUCUCUCUCUCUCUCUCAAAAGAAGCAUCUAUAUAGUCUAUAAUAACUAAAUAGACUAAUCGACUUCUCUCAACAUGAAGGUGUUCAGGUUAUUACUUCUCUUCUACCAUGUCACUUUUAGGAGUAUCAAAUUGUAAGCAUCGACAGGUGCAAUACUAACAUCUUAGUUUCAGUCUUAGAAUGGGUGGCGGUUGUGAAGCAUUGAAAACACAGCAGCCGCCGCGUCCUUCCUGCUCUCCUUCACCUCCCGCAGAACCGCGCUCUAGGGAAAUUGUUCUUUCAUUCUUCAUAGAAUGAUUUCUUUAUCUGCCAUAUCACCAGCCCUGUGCUACUCCUGAAAGCUGAUGGUUCAGGAAGUCCGCGAAACUUGGAGAUGAUGGAAAUUGUGCCUCCCCUAAAUAUUGUUGUUGUAUGUGUUACAUAGCUCAAUUUUCAUCUUUAGAUGAUGAUGAAUUCUUUCCAGCCACGUAUGCCUUUAUUGGGUAUACAUGUAGAAUGUGCUCCAUUCCUGGAAUUGUGUGAAUACACAUCGUUUGGUAUACAGGUAGA
Lolium rigidum is the source of this 1493-nucleotide long non-coding RNA. RefSeq lists it as uncharacterized. Lineage: Eukaryota; Viridiplantae; Streptophyta; Magnoliopsida; Poales; Poaceae. The transcript has 3 exons. The record is from RefSeq and is a predicted model, not a curated record.